GAUGAACGCUAGCGGCAGGCCUAAUACAUGCAAGUCGAGCGGCAAGUCGAGGAGUAAUCUGAGACCUAGAGCGGCGUACGGGUGCGUAACGCGUAUGCAACCUACCUCAUACAGGGGGAUAGCCCGGAGAAAUCUGGAUUAAUACCCCAUAGCACAGCACAAGGGCAUCUGCGAGCUGUUAAAGAUUCAUCGGUAUGAGAUGGGCAUGCGUCUGAUUAGCUAGUUGGCGGUGUAACGGACCACCAAGGCGAAGAUCAGUAGGGGUUCUGAGAGGAAGGUCCCCCACACUGGCACUGAGAGACGGGCCAGACUCCUACGGGAGGCAGCAGUAGGGAAUAUUGGGCAAUGGACGAGAGUCUGACCCAGCCAUGCCGCGUGCAGGAAGAAGGCCUUCUGGGUUGUAAACUGCUUUUAUCUGGGAAGAAAAGGCCCAUGCGUGGGACAUUGCCGGUACCAGAUGAAUAGGCACCGGCUAACUCCGUGCCAGCAGCCGCCGUAA
Molecule: ribosomal RNA, 499 nt
Filed under: uncultured bacterium
Lineage: Bacteria
Description: partial 16S ribosomal RNA
Rfam family: Bacterial small subunit ribosomal RNA
Source: RNAcentral